UUUUACGGCUGGGAAAGUUUAAAAAGUGAAAUAUCAAAUAACCAGAUAUCAAUUUGAUUUAAAAUUGCAAUAAAAUAGUGUUAACGAUAAAAUAACAGUAUGUGAAAGUUCAAACUGUUAAUUUUUAUCAAUUUUUUUUUUUUAAUUUUUAUAUUAAAACCUGCCUUCUUGUUUGUUAAGGCAUUUACUAGUUGGUUUCAUUAAUGGGUUAAACAGAUACCAUGCACGGAUUAAAAAAUGUUUAUUUUUACGGGGCGCAUCAUUUUAAUCUUGAAGACUGUAUUAAGUUAUAUGAAUUCAUUAUUUACGAAAUGUUUUGGUUUACCAUUAUGAAAUGUUCAUUCACAAAUAUUUAUAGACAUGCUCCUGUGGUCGUAUAUUUCCUCUGUUCAAGACAAGUCAUUGGUCAUAUAUGCACUGCAUUGUUUUUCUAUUUGCACAAAAUUUGCCAUAGAUUUGGAAACAACAAAACUCCUCCAUUGAUUAGGAAAUUACAAAACUUGCCAUAGAUUAGGUUGUUACAAAAUCUGCUAUAUACAUGUAUUUGGGACGGCAUGACGUCACAUUUGCCAUACAUUUGUAGAUGAAGAAUCUGCCAUAUAUUUAGAACAUACUAUAUAUUCGAGUCCUACAUAUAUUUAAGUUGUUUACAUACAAGUUUAUGUACUCGCUUACACCAAUUGUAACAUAUAGAC
RNAcentral lists this long non-coding RNA (695 nucleotides) under Mytilus galloprovincialis (Mediterranean mussel). The record is from RNAcentral. Lineage: Eukaryota; Metazoa; Mollusca; Bivalvia; Mytilida; Mytilidae.